This 1195-nucleotide unclassified non-coding RNA is filed under the name Hevea brasiliensis (rubber tree). The record is from RNAcentral. Lineage: Eukaryota; Viridiplantae; Streptophyta; Magnoliopsida; Malpighiales; Euphorbiaceae.
UUACCUUUCUUAGGAACUUCAGAAGUUCAACGCCAGCAUAUCAAGGUCAACUGUUAUCUCAUUAAGAAGAACCUUAAAUGGCUUAACGAGACCCAUGCAAAUUUGCACUCAUCUUUUUUGACCAUCAGAAACUUUGUGUGUUCUCCACAACAGAUCAAUAUUUAAAAAUAUUUAAUACUUGAUCAGUUUAGCUUUUCUCUGAUGAUCAAUUCAUGCUACACCAAAUAUCAUUUUCUUUGCAGAAACAUCCAUUUGUAUGAGAAACUCAAACCUAGCAAAAGCAACAUGCUGCCUCUACUGUCUUCCAAGAUAAUAAAGAUCUCCAAACGAUAUUAAAGCAGCGUUGUGAAAUGCAAACCUUCCUAACAUUUGAACCAUUUGAUGCUACCAUGUGCUUCCCUUCUAAUAUACAGUAUUGUUGUUUUCCCAGAACCAUUAGAUCCAAUGAGAAGGCACUGAUCACCAGAUGUUAAACGUGGUUAGAAAGAAGAAGAAGAAGAGAAUGAGGAGGAAGGAGAACACGUAGAAAAAGUGGGACCAUAUUUAUAAUAAAAAUCAUUUUUAAUGCAAAAUUUUAUGCCAUGUCAGCAGAUUUUAUCGGAGAAAGACGGAAAGUCAUGGUUUGUUAACGGAGUGAAACCUCAGGGUACCACUUUGUCACAAAGUAAGCUAUAAACCCUGAAAUCAAAAAUAAGUGAAACCAUAAGGUACUUUUUGUAAUUUCCCCAAAUGACUCAAAUAUAAGUAUAUAACAAUUGAUUUUGGCUUUGUGAGAGGACAUUAUAAUGGAAAAGAUUUUAAUUUUUGUUAAAAAGCUUUAUAUGUAUUAAUCUUAUUGGAUAUGUAUAGUUUCCAAAGCUUUGUGUCAAUGUUAAGGUAAAAUUUGCAGUUUUAUUUAGUGAAAUCUCUGCUCUAUUAACAAUUAAGUAGCUAAGCUAGCAUUAGCACAAAAGCACCUGAUUAUUUAGCAUAAUUUUAGAAUUUGGCAUAGUGUAAUUAUUCCCAACAAAUAAUUUUGCUAUUAUAUUUGUAGAAGGACAAUUAUGUAAUUUUAAUAUAAAUCACUUUAUUUCUCUUCAUUUUCCACCAAUUUGGAGGCAAAUGCUUUGGCUUAGUGAUGUAGAACAAAUAAAGAAAUUAGGAGAAAUCAAGGACCAAGUCUUGAAAGAUAGAAUUAAUUGUCAAGAUAUUGUUA